RNAcentral lists this transfer RNA (68 nucleotides) under Marmota monax (woodchuck). Its description in RNAcentral is "tRNA.Ala". The record is from RNAcentral. Lineage: Eukaryota; Metazoa; Chordata; Mammalia; Rodentia; Sciuridae.
GUUGUGGCUCAGAGGUAGAGUGCUUGCCUGGCAAAUGUGAGGCACUGGGUUUGAUCCUCAGCACAACA